AGAGGAUGGACAUGCGGCGCAUUAGCUAGUCGGCGGGGUAACGGCCCACGAGGGCUACGAUGCGUAGGGGUUCUGAGAGGAAGGUCCCCCACACUGGUACUGAGACACGGACCAGACUCCUACGGGAGGCAGCAGUGAGGAAUAUUGGUCAAUGGGCGGAAGCCUGAACCAGCCAAGUCGCGUGAGGGAAGACGGUCCUAUGGAUUGUAAACCUCUUUUGCAGGGGAGCAAGGCGCGGUACGUGUACCGCGAAGGAGAGUACCCUGAGAAAAAGCAUCGGCUAACUCCGUGCCAGCAGCCGCGGUAAUACGGAGGAUGCGAGCGUUAUCCGGAUUUAUUGGGUUUAAAGGGUGCGCAGGCGGACUGUUAAGUCAGCGGUAAAAUGUCGGUGCUCAACACCGGCCGGCCGUUGAAACUGGCAGCCUUGAGUGAGCGAGAAGUAUGCGGAAUGCGUGGUGUAGCGGUGAAAUGCAUAGAUAUCACGCAGAACUCCGAUUGCGAAGGCAGCAUACCGGCGCCCAACUGACGCUCAGGCACGAAAGCGUGGGUAUCGAACAGGCUUAGAUACCCUGGUAGUCCACGCAGUAAACGAUGAAUGCUCACUGUCCGGGCCGUUUAAGGC
Molecule: ribosomal RNA, 622 nt
Filed under: uncultured bacterium
Lineage: Bacteria
Description: bacterial SSU rRNA
Rfam family: Bacterial small subunit ribosomal RNA
Source: RNAcentral